GAAAGGCGUGCGGAACAUGUCGGAUGCGAUCAUACCAGCACUAAAGCACCGGAUCCCAUCAGAACUCCGCAGUUAAGCGUGCUUGGGCGAGAGUAGUACUAGGAUGGGUGACCUCCCGGGAAGUCCUCGUGUUGCAUCCC
RNAcentral lists this ribosomal RNA (140 nucleotides) under Tricholemma jahandiezii. Lineage: Eukaryota; Viridiplantae; Streptophyta; Magnoliopsida; Poales; Poaceae. The record is from RNAcentral.